CGAAUUCGUAGAUUUGCAUUUUUUUUUUUUUUUGAAAUCCGAAUUUGGAGCAAUAUUUAGUGAUUUUAGAUGAAGUAUAUAUGAUGAAUUGGGAUUUGACUUAGGAGAAAACUCGUUAAACUUACAUUGUUAUUUUUCAAAAAGUUACCAGAUUUAGUUUCAGGAGCUAUUGUUCUUUUGUAUCAGCGCUAUUAGUGCGUAGUAGAUACUCAGAUUAGUGUAGGAUGAUAUUACGAUCGUGCUGUGGGGGCUGAGCUCGUUUUACAGUAGUGUUUGGACUGUUCUGUACUGUCGGAUGCCGUCGUGGUUGACAGUG
This 316-nucleotide long non-coding RNA is filed under the name Ananas comosus (pineapple). Its description in RNAcentral is "long non-coding RNA (ACOM_LNC033268)". Lineage: Eukaryota; Viridiplantae; Streptophyta; Magnoliopsida; Poales; Bromeliaceae. The record is from RNAcentral.